AGAGUUUGAUCCUGGCUCAGAUUGAACGCUGGCGGCAUGCCUUACACAUGCAAGUCGAACGGCAGCACGGAGCUUGCUCUGGUGGCGAGUGGCGAACGGGUGAGUAAUAUAUCGGAACGUACCCUAGAGUGGGGGAUAACGUAGCGAAAGUUACGCUAAUACCGCAUACGAUCUAAGGAUGAAAGUGGGGGAUCGCAAGACCUCAUGCUCGUGGAGCGGCCGAUAUCUGAUUAGCUAGUUGGUAGGGUAAAAGCCUACCAAGGCAUCGAUCAGUAGCUGGUCUGAGAGGACGACCAGCCACACUGGAACUGAGACACGGUCCAGACUCCUACGGGAGGCAGCAGUGGGGAAUUUUGGACAAUGGGCGAAAGCCUGAUCCAGCAAUGCCGCGUGAGUGAAGAAGGCCUUCGGGUUGUAAAGCUCUUUUGUCAGGGAAGAAACGGUGAGAGCUAA
Molecule: ribosomal RNA, 453 nt
Filed under: Janthinobacterium sp. RX243
Lineage: Bacteria; Pseudomonadati; Pseudomonadota; Betaproteobacteria; Burkholderiales; Oxalobacteraceae
Description: bacterial SSU rRNA
Rfam family: Bacterial small subunit ribosomal RNA
Source: RNAcentral